CAGAUCUGGGCGGGGAAGAGCCCUGGACGUCAGCCUGGAGGCCCGAGCCCCGAGCCCCGCUCCCCGCCCCGGGGCCCCUGCCCCCCCCCAUCCCCGGCCCCUGCCGGGUGUCUCCCCGUCCUCCCCGCAGCCCUGGUCUCGGAGCCCAAGAGCUCACGAGGACCUGGGCCCUGCCUCACCUUCCUGAUCCAUAUCUGGGUGACGAUCUCAUCCCGGUAGUUGGUCAGGAAGGGGCCCAUGUAGGACAGGAAGGCGGCGGCCAGGAGACAGUCACCCACCAGGUAGCCCAGAUCCUCCUCCAGGCCCUGGGUGGGGGGCGGGGGGCGGGCAGGGGGUGUAAGGAGGGCCCCGGGCACUGGGGAGCGCUGGCUCUCUCCCCCCCGGAUACUGGCUCCAUCAAAGAGGCGCUUUGUCCUAAACCUUCGGCCCUGAGGAGUCCAACCUGGUUCUAAUCCCUUCGGAGUCGCCGUCUUUCACAGUGAUCCUGUUUACAUUCUGCGCGCCUUCUCGCUGGCCAGCCCUGACACCAGCAAGCCGGCUCGCUCCAGCUUCAUUUCCAUGUCCUCGGACUUCCUGCGGAGCUCCUCCUUCUGGGCCAGCUUCUCGUCGUACUGCUUCUUCAGCAUCUCUAGCUUCUCGGCCACCUGGGAGGGACCAGAGCGAACGGCUCAAACGCCACUCUUGGGGCCGCGCUGCCCGGGGGUUCCGGUGGCCCAUCUGCCGUUUCCAGGCCUUGGGGCCUCCGUGGCCCGGUGUGCCGUGUGACGAUGCUAACCCCCACCCCGUAGGGCUGUCGCAGACAGAAAACAAGACAAAAUAUGUGUGGUGA
Felis catus (domestic cat) is the source of this 829-nucleotide long non-coding RNA. RefSeq lists it as uncharacterized. The transcript has 2 exons. Lineage: Eukaryota; Metazoa; Chordata; Mammalia; Carnivora; Felidae. The record is from RefSeq and is a predicted model, not a curated record.